CACACUGCUUCCGAAGAACCCUAUUAGACAUGGCCGUGGUAAAUGUCACUGUGGUCAUGGGAACGAGAACAUUCAGCAACAUCCACUCGGAGAGAAAGCAAGUGCAGAAGGUCAUUAUUCACAAAGAUUACAAACCGCCCCAGCUCGACAGUGACCUCUCUCUGCUUCUACUUGCCACACCAGUGCAAUUCAGCAAUUUCAAAAUGCCUGUCUGCCUGCAGGAGGAGGAGAGGACCUGGGACUGGUGUUGGAUGGCACAGUGGGUAACGACCAAUGGGUAUGAUCCAUGUGCUGUACUUCCCUGGGUCCUGGGAGGCUGGCUCCUAGGGACUGAGUUACCUGGGAUCCUAAACGCCACUUAGCUUGACCUCAGCAAGUACCAACAGAAAGUACCAGGGCAGGAAGGGAGAGGGUUGGGGUAUUUCUUCCCUGUCACUUUCCUAUGUGGGCCACUGUUCUGCCGCUGGCUGGGUCCCUUCUAUACUCAGUCCCCACAGGGUAGUCCCUCCUUCACGCUUGCGGCCCUCACUGGAUUCCAAUGACAGUAGCUUGCCCUACGGCUUACUGCUACUGUUCAACUCUGGACAUCUUGUUCUCCUUCGCUGAAUCCCUUUACAACGCCCACAACUUUCAGUGCCUUCAUUAAAAUGCCUUCAUUUGCACUUUCAGAGUAGAAUCCUGUUUCCUUCUGAAGCCCUUCCUAAUUGAUAUACUUAGGGCCAUCUUCCUUAACACCCCAGACCUGCUGGUUUCGGAGCCAUCGACCUCCUCAUUUCCACCGCAGAGGGCUGGAGGAGAUUCAGAAAAUCAGGGCAGGGCCCAGGAGAAGGUUCUUUCAGAGCAUGGCUUCAGCCUGGUUACUUCUGACACCAGCCAGGAGGAACAGACUUCUUCCCCAUACAGCAGGUACCACCAGAAGUACCUGAGCAAGAUCACCCUCAGCUCCUGCAGCCUCAGGGCACCGGAGUGUCCUGUCCACGGGGCAUUUGUUACGGACAAAGAUUUGUGUGGCCUUUCACUUUGCACGCUGAAGCUUAACCCUGGCUGCAACGGGACGGGGGGCCACCAAGGAAGUCAUUAAGGUUAACUAAGGUAUAGGGUGGUGCCCUGGUUGACAGGAUGGUGGCCUUAUGAGGACACUUACAAGAUGGACGCCCACUUGUCCCCCGACCCCUCUGGCACAGGAACUGAGGAAGAGUCACAAGAGGACACAGCAGAUGUUGGUCACCUGCAGGCUAGGAAGAAAGCCCUCCCCAGGAACCUGGGUCUUGGGGACUUCCAGCCUCCACUGUGGGAAAGAAAUGCGUGUUGAUCAGUCCACCCAGUCUAUGGUGUUUUGUAACGGUGGCCAGAGCAGACAAAGACAGUAUGAAAACAUAACUUCUCCCCACACGCUGAAGUUAUAACAGCAAUGCUUUCAACAAAUUGGGCAACGCUUUUGUGGUUCCCACUGGGCGAGUGUUGAAGCUUACAAAACACAAAGGCAUUUUUGAACGUCUGGUCUUUGAGGUAUAAUUUCUAUUCAGCAAAUUCACCACUUCAGGAUGGAUGGUUCUGUGAAUUCUGAUGAAUGUAAAUGGCUGUGACCAGACAUAGAACUUUGGCCGAAUGUGGUGCCUCAUGCCUGUAAUCCCAGCACUUUGGGAGGCUGAGGUGGGCGGAUCACCUGAGGUCAGGAGUUCAAGACCAGCCUGACCAACAUGGUGAAAACCCGUCUCUACUAAAAAUACAAAAAUUAGCUGGGCGGGGAGGCAUGUGCCUGUAAUCUCAGUUAUUCAAGAGGCUGAGGCUGGAGAAUUGCUUGAACCUGGGAGGUGCAGGUUGCAGUGAGCUGAGAUCACACCAUUGCUCUCCAGCCUGGACGACAAGAGUGAAACUCUGUUUCACAAAAAGAAAAGAAAAAGACAAGACAUACAACAUUUUCAUCACCCCAAAACAUUCCCCUGUGCUUCUUAGUAAUCCAUCCUCUUCCUGGAACCCCAAACCUGGGCAACAACUCAUGCGUUCUCUGUGCUUGGAGUUUUGCCUUUCCCAGAAUGCCAUGGAAUCAUACGGUGUGCAGCGGCUCGUGUCUGGCUUCUCCAGCUCGGUGCGAUGCUCCUGAGAUCCGAGUUGUUGUGCGUGUCAGUCGGCUGCUCCUCUUCGCUGCUGUGUAGCACCGCUGUUGUGUGAAUGCACCGCAGUUUGUUCAUCGCUUCCUCUGACGAUGGACAUUUAGGUUGUUACCAGUUUUUAGCAAUUAAAAAGAAAGCCACCAUAAACACUGGGUACUGGUUUUCACGUGGACGUAUGUUUCUGUGCAGUCCUGUUUUGAUUAAAAUGUGAACUCGUCUACUGCCGUGGUAGGCAAUUUUUGGAUGACUUGGGGCCUAAAUGAAGAGAAUGCAGGCGCUUGCUGUGUUCUCCCUUUCUGUAGUCUGGGACUGCCAUGGAAGUCGUGUGGUUUCUUUGGGCAGGAUGGUGGGUAAUGCGGGAAUUCUUUUAUCUAUGCCCUGUUCCAUCUCAUAUGCAUGUCCCCUCCAGUGCCCAAAAGUUUGCAAACACUUAGAGCAGCGAUCAGAUGUUUUGCUCUACUGACCCCAAAUAAAUACAUGCUGUUUGCAAAGAACAGAGGCAAGGAGGCUUUCUCUCCCAUUUCACGACCCCGCUUGGCAGAGAAAAG
RNAcentral lists this long non-coding RNA (2662 nucleotides) under Homo sapiens (human). RNAcentral's name for it is "non-protein coding lnc-PRSS51-2:4". The record is from RNAcentral. Lineage: Eukaryota; Metazoa; Chordata; Mammalia; Primates; Hominidae.